Molecule: ribosomal RNA, 391 nt
Filed under: uncultured bacterium
Lineage: Bacteria
Description: bacterial SSU rRNA
Rfam family: Bacterial small subunit ribosomal RNA
Source: RNAcentral
AUUGAACGCUGGCGGCAUGCCUUACACAUGCAAGUCGAACGGCAGCACGGGAGCAAUCCUGGUGGCGAGUGGCGAACGGGUGAGUAAUAUAUCGGAACGUGCCCAGUCGUGGGGAUAACGUAGCGAAAGCUACGCUAAUACCGCAUACGAUCUAUGGAUGAAAGCGGGGGAUCGCAAGACCUCGCGCGAUUGGAGCGGCCGAUAUCAGAUUAGGUAGUUGGUGAGGUAAAGGCUCACCAAGCCGACGAUCUGUAGCUGGUCUGAGAGGACGACCAGCCACACUGGGACUGAGACACGGCCCAGACUCCUACGGGAGGCAGCAGUGGGGAAUUUUGGACAAUGGGCGCAAGCCUGAUCCAGCAAUGCCGCGUGCAGGAUGAAGGCCUUCGGG